CCUACGGGUGGCAGCAGUGAGGAAUAUUGGUCAAUGGACGAGAGUCUGAACCAGCCAAGUAGCGUGAAGGAUGACUGCCCUCUGGGUUGUAAACUUCUUUUAUAUGGGAAUAAAAUGUUCCACGUGUGGGAUUUUGUAUGUACCAUAUGAAUAAGGAUCGGCCAACUCCGUGCCAGCAGCCGCGGUAAUACGGAGGAUUCGAGCGUUAUCCGGAUUUAUUGGGUGUAAAGGGAGCGUAGGUGGAGUGUUAAGUCAGUUGUGAAAGUUUGCGGCUCAACCGUUAAAGUGCAGUUGAAACUGGCAGUCGUGAGUACAGUAGAGGUGGGCGGAAUUCGUGGUGUAGCGGUGAAAUGCGUAGAUAUAACGAAGAACUCCAAUUGCGAAGGCAGCUGACUGGACUGCAACUGACACUGAGGCUCGAAAGUGUGGGUAUCAAACAGGAUUAGAUACCCGAGUAGUC
Molecule: ribosomal RNA, 460 nt
Filed under: uncultured bacterium
Lineage: Bacteria
Description: partial 16S ribosomal RNA
Rfam family: Bacterial small subunit ribosomal RNA
Source: RNAcentral